AGACUGAUUUGUGCUUGAUUUGAGGUAAUUAAGCCCUAAGUGGUUAUAGGAAACAUUUUGGAGUGGUUGUCAAGUGGCUAUACUAGGAAAUAACUUCCCCAAAAUGGCCAUGUCAGGAAACAUUUCGGAGUGGUUGUCAAGUGACUAUCCCAGGAACUGGCCUCCCCAAAAUGGCUGUAUGUCAGACUGUACUGAUGUACACCGUCCAGGUGCCAUCGAUGGAUGAGGCCAGCAGGUAGGUGCAGGUACCCUGGAAGUGGAAGUGCUUCUUGUCAAAAGUGCGAUAGUGGGAUCCACCCCAGGACAUGCAGGUGGCUGUGCCUUGAGGUGCCCUGACGCUACCCAGAAGUCCACCACGUACCAGUGGGGACAACUGGGAGUCUGGAGAUGCGUGAAGGAACACAAAGAGAGUUACAGUGUAAAUGUGCUAAUGCUAGAUGUGUUAGAUGAUAAGUGUGAACCUGGAAGGAGAGUG
Molecule: long non-coding RNA, 475 nt
Organism: Dunckerocampus dactyliophorus (ringed pipefish)
Lineage: Eukaryota; Metazoa; Chordata; Actinopteri; Syngnathiformes; Syngnathidae
Exons: 3
Source: RefSeq, a predicted model, not a curated record